UUUGGCCUUCCUCUUGUUUUUGAUUUUUUUUCUUGUAUUUCUCUGACCACACUAGUUUCCAGUUUGGGGUCACGCUCCUCCAAACGGCAAUAGGGAAUUGGAGUUUCUUGGGCCUCUGUCCAGUAGUCUUUUUCUGCUCACCUCCUGAACAAGCCCUAACAUUCUCGAAUCUUCCAUUACUAUGUGUAUCUCCAGCCUAAAGCUAUGUCCAAGUUCACAACGUCUAGAUUUAACUGCCCAUUUAGCCUUCCCAUUUGGAUUUCUUACAGCACCCAGAACUCUACUUUCCCAGGGAAGAAUCCCUGAUCCUCCUCUGUUUCUCGUGGGCAUUCCUGAGAACAUGUGUUCAUCCUUGACCCCCACUGUCUCUUUAUCAAAUUGCACAUCCAGUCACCCAGUCCCGCUAAUUCUACAUCUAAAAGUCCCCAUGGUUCCAUCUCCUCCCUUCCUUCUCUGGUGGCACCACCUUGGUAUAUGUCUCCAUCAUCUUUUGUCUGGAAUAAUACAAUCAAUACACAAUAGUCUUAUAAUUGGUCUCCUACAUCUAAUAUUGCCUCUCUCCUGUCACCUUUGAUCCAUUAUCCUCCUAGUAGUAGAAUCUCUUGAAAACCUAAUUAUGAGUUACAAAGUUCCUCAACUAGGUCCCUUUAUUAAUUUUCUAUUGUCCUUAGGAUAAAUCCCAAACUUCUUAAUAUUCUUUUAAGACCUAGCAAGAAUUAGCCUAGACUUACUUCUUGUUCCUCUCAUAUCAUAGUCUUCUUUUUGGCCCAAUUAAGCUUUCUAGAGACCCUUGAACACACAAAGCCCUUUUCCUUGAGUCAUCACACAGUUGCUCCGCCUACCAGGCUUCUGCUCUUUUUGGCACCAACACACUCUUCCUUCCUCAGAUUAACAGUCUCCUCCUCAGGGAAGUUCUUCUUCACCAUCACUACUCCCCAGGCAUUAUGUUCCCCUGGAUCAUAGCCUGGGCAUAUAAUCAGGGCUCAAAAAUAUUUGUUCACUGACUUUUUAACUCUUUCCCAUUCAUGAAAGCUCCUCAAACUUGAUGUGAUUCGGAAGCAGUAGAGGACUAUUCACCUUAGCAUUUGUCCACAGUCAGUUUUAUUAAAAAGAGACAUGAGGAGUUCCCAUUGUGGCCCAGCAGUAUUGAACCCAACUAGGUUCCAUGAGGAUGUGGGUUCGAUCCCAGGCCCCACUCAGUGGAUUAAGGAUCUGGCAUUGCUGUGAGCUAUGGUGUAGGUUGCAUGUGUGGCUCAGAUCCUGUGUUGCUGUGUAUGUGGUGUAGGCUAGGGCCUACAGCUUAAAUUUGACCCCUAGCCAGGGAGCCCUAAAAAGAAAAAAAAAAGAAAAA
RNAcentral lists this long non-coding RNA (1351 nucleotides) under Sus scrofa (pig). RNAcentral describes it as "lncRNA (ENSSSCG00015012992.1)". The record is from RNAcentral. Lineage: Eukaryota; Metazoa; Chordata; Mammalia; Artiodactyla; Suidae.